GCAGGAUGCUCGACUCCUCACUCUCCAACCUUCACCUUUCUUUCUCUGGUCUCUCCAUCUACCUCUUCCUCUCUGCUGUGACGAACACCCUCUCACACCUCUUAGUCUUUUCAUCCCUGCAAAAGUCAAACUUUUAAUGGUGUCGUCUCGGCCAGCCAACAGGUGUGUAUGGAUCGCAGGAAAGGAUUUCUCAGAAGAUCAUUGAUUUUAUGAAAUGAUCAACGCAUCUCCGAUUCACCAUUUCUUUCCUCAUGCCAUCUCUGGUUUUUGUAUUUGUCACUAAAUAUUGGAGGAUGACAAGAACACGAAGACACAGAAGAAGACAGGACGUGAGUGGACAGAAAACCUGCAACAUCAGCAGCAUGAUGGGAGGACACCAGAGUCUCACUGAGCAAAAACAGGACUCAUUCCUUUAAAAUCUAUGGACUUGUCACUGUUCGAACUUCAGUGACGCAACACUUCAGUGUGUGGGGAAUAAUGUGUCUGCGUCUUUUAACCCUUCAACCCAGAGAGAGGACAACAACAUGGAUGUUUUGCACAUAAUAGAAUGACUUGAUGGAGGUUUGUGCCGUCCAAUGGGGCUAUUUACAGUAAAUUUACCACAUAAAAAAAAGGAGAUAUAACUUAAUAUUUACGCCUGAAUGAGGUUGUUGUUGGACCUCAAAACAACAACAUCGUCCCUUGUUGUCUGGAAAUCAACCUGAUGUAUCUGCAGACACAACCUUCCUCUGAAGACACUUGAAGUAUUGUCAUACUUUACACCUUCUGGAGCAAAUGAACUUUGUGGAUGAGAACUUGGGCACAUUUACAUGCAUAUGGAUAUUUACAUAUAUAUGGAUUUAGAUCGAGCCAACACGAUGACACGAUUCACAUGGCGGCUUGCGCUGAAGUUGACAACAGAGACGCUACAAAACAAAAAAAUGAGACCUGUUACCGAACGACUGCUGAAUGAAAGGCCCGGAGGAGACGAGAGCCGGAGUGGGAGGAAUAAUCAUUUGAUGAGUGCAGACUUUCCAGACCAGACCAGAGGACGACGGGGUUUCUUCUCUUCACUGCUGCUGUGCGGUUACUCUGAGAUCUAAAUUUUUUUUACUAUAUUCUGAAUUUUUUAUGACAAGCUUUACUAUGACUUUUAACCAUACAUACCCUACUGACAUAUUAUACCUUUUUUAUGGCACACUAUACUUUAUAUAGUUUUUAUGACAUUUUAUGGCAUACUACAUUAGGGCUCUUUAUGACUUAUUUUAUGUAUUUUUACUACUACUUCAAGAACUUCAAGCGCUAAAACUACUAGAGAUUUGAUUUGAUCGUUAUCAAAUGUUUUUCGGUAACUUAUAUGUAUAAAAGUAUUAACAGAACAGUGUCCUUACACUGUCUCCUUACCAGCAUUGACCUGGUCUUCUGUUGAGCUUCCCUCUGGUUCUCCAGCUGCUCCUCCAGCGUCUUCUGGAGAAUGGAGACACGAAAAAAAUGCAUAAAUGUAAAAAUAAUUUCAUAGUACAGUAUAGUAUGUCACAAACAAUGUAAUAGUAUUUAUUUCAUAUACAAAUGAAAGUAAAGUAUGUCAGCGGUACCUCCCAAGUUUCGCAGGAAUUACAUUCCGUCAUCAACGCUAGUGCUGUUAGCGAUAACGCUGCAGAAGUGAAAUGGAACUUUUACUGUAUGACCCUCAAUCAUAUGCUGGCUCCCUAAAUUGGCCCUCAGCAAUCAAAACUUUGAGACCCUAAAGGAGAGAAUUAAGCAUACGGAAAAUGAAUAGUGUGAUAUGUCGCGUUCUGCACUGUGAAGACAUACAUUCCAUUUGUCUCCCACUAGUUUCAGACCAUUACUGCCGAUGAAUGAUGUGGUCGCUAAUUGUGAAAGUACUUGCAAUGAGACGCUGUUGAAAAUUACAAGAGGUCUUGUUCACAUUAUUAGCUCAAUGCGGAAACCUCCUCUUUUUUGUGGCACACAUGGAACCGAUUAUGAACAUGGAAGUGUUGUCUACAGCAGGAGAGAACAGCUCAGAAUAUGCAUUGUUGGGUUGGUUUCCUCUGUUAACACUGCUGGAAGUAUGUUAUAGCGGUAUGAGAAAUGAUAGAAUAAAUGGUCUUGAAGCUCGGGUGUAAACGCAGACGUCUCUGCCUGAAGCCCGGGUUGUCUGGCAGACAGGCACAAACCCAUUAGCAAGGCUCAGUUAGCGAUCGUCUUGUAAACCGAGACCCCGGGCAUUCAUUAGGCAUCAAUCAAAGGACGAGGUGCGAUGAUUAAAUGAUGAGUGCAAAUGCUCGACAGUGUUCGGUACACCGGGCCACUUUACUUUGACACUUGAAAGUGGGGGAAAUGGAUGGAAGAAAGAUGAUGUUAGUCUCCAUGUAGAUGGCUGCAACUGGUUAAUUUAUUCAUGGGAGUUAUUGAAGAAAGUGAAUUUGAAAACCUUGAAGUCAAAGCUUCAUGAUGCCUACAAAUGCUGUUGGAGCAAAGGGAAUUCAUUCACAUUGGCUGCCACUUACGACUGUUACAUUUCUACUAAUUGAGGAAAUCACAAACUUUUUCUGACUAUUUCAAAGCUCAGACAGUAUCAGCAGGCACCAGAUAAAUGAAACACCAACACCAAGUGUGGGAUCUGUGAUGUAGCAGAAACUUUCAAGAUAAGGAGAUAAUAUAAUAUGUCAAAAACAUGUCAGCCUGUCAGGUGUUUUCCAUCAGAGCCUACCGGGUUCUUCUCAGCGUUCUCAUCGUCCUCGGUGCUGCACUGCGUGUGGUGAUUGUGUAGGAUGAUGUGGGCCGCUUCAUCCAUCGGUUCACCAAGCUGCAACAAACACAGAGGCAGAUUAGAGGCGUGUUGGAGGGCUGCUACAACGUUAAACAGCUCCUUUAGACACUUCAUGGGACUGGAAUGAACUGGGUUCAAUCCCAUCUGCAAAAAAAAGAUUAUUUGUAUAAAUUUGUCAAGUAGCGUUUUUUGAUUGAUUAAAUUAAACAUUUUAGUCGAUAAAAUGUCAGAAAAUAAUGCCGUGCAAAAAUCACAAAAGUUGUAAGAAAUAUCGGAAAACAGUCAAAAUAUAGUAUGCCAUAAAUGUUUAGCAUGGAAUUAAAAAAUAGCACAAUAUAGCAUGAAAAAAAUAUGUCAAACAAAGUUUGUGUAUGGAGAGAAACUGAAGAAAAUAGUCAUUUCCUCAAAGGUUAAUGAGCUUAUUUGAUAUGAAAAGUGAUCACUACUACACCUUUACAGUAAAACACACUUUUAAUUACUAUUUUCAUCAUAAUCACAUCCAGAGCUGAGACGGCUGAACUGUUUCUCUGAGCCCUUA
Long non-coding RNA from Anarrhichthys ocellatus (wolf-eel), 3293 nucleotides. RefSeq lists it as uncharacterized. The record is from RefSeq and is a predicted model, not a curated record. The transcript is spliced from 4 exons. Lineage: Eukaryota; Metazoa; Chordata; Actinopteri; Perciformes; Anarhichadidae.